Molecule: ribosomal RNA, 293 nt
Filed under: Abditibacteriota bacterium
Lineage: Bacteria; Pseudomonadati; Abditibacteriota
Description: partial 23S ribosomal RNA
Rfam family: Bacterial large subunit ribosomal RNA
Source: RNAcentral
CCCUAUCCGAUGUGGGCGCAAGUGACUUGAACGGAUCUGUCCUCAGUACGAGAGGACCGGGAUGGACGGACCUCCGGUGUAUCGGUUGUCGUGCCAACGGCAGGUGCCGAGUAGCUAUGUCCGGAACGGAUAACCGCUGAAAGCAUCUAAGUGGGAAGCCGGCCGUAAGAUUAGGUCACUCACGGAAUUAAUCCGGUAAGGUCCCCGAUAGACUAUCGGGUUGAUAGGUAGCAGGUGUAAGUGCAGUAAUGUAUUGUAGCUGAGCUAUACUAAUAGACCGAGGGCUUGACCAU